GAGAGCUCAGGCCUGCAGCAGAGGGAGUGCAGAUGUGGGGGAAGCUGACCCUGGAGUUAACAGGCUCAGACCUUAAAGGGGGUAGUCUCACAGCAGGUUCACACCCAGCACUUCAGAGUUUCAGCAAGUAAGGCAACUGCAAGACCCUCAUUCUGCCGGGAAGCUUCUGAUUAGGGCCCUAAACCACCAUCCUUUUCACAUCUGCAAGGACACUAGAGGCAACACCCAGGGUCACUCUGAGAGGGCCUGAACCUGCUUUAUUAACAGGAUCGAGGGUCAGGACCGAAGUAAGUCGUGAUGCAGGAAAUGAGUGCGUUUCACAGCUUGCUGAGCCCCUACUCGACCCAGGAAGCCCAGCUGGCCCCUCCUCUCAACAGGAGUGAGAAUCAGACUCAUGGAGGCAACCACUCAAGGCCACUCUGAGAAGGGUUGAACGUGCUUUAAAUUAAAAGGACUGAGGAUCAUGUGUGUUGGUGUGUCCUGGACUCUGCUCUAAGGUAAAUGUGUGUGUGUGUUUGUGUGUGGGGGUUGUGCCUGUAAUCCUGUGUGUGUGACCUCCUUAUUAGAAGAUUUUUGUUCAUUAAAGUAGGAGUGUGAA
Molecule: long non-coding RNA, 598 nt
Filed under: Homo sapiens (human)
Lineage: Eukaryota; Metazoa; Chordata; Mammalia; Primates; Hominidae
Description: T cell receptor gamma locus antisense RNA 1
Source: RNAcentral